AAAACUUUCAACAACGGAUCUCUUGGUUCUCGCAUCGAUGAAGAGCGCAGCGAAAUGCGAUACCUAGUGUGAAUUGCAGCCAUCGUGAAUCAUCGAGUUCUUGAACGCACAUUGCGCCCUCCGGUAUUCCGGGGGGCAUGCCUGUUUGAGCGUCGUUU
Molecule: ribosomal RNA, 158 nt
Filed under: Pichia insulana
Lineage: Eukaryota; Fungi; Ascomycota; Pichiomycetes; Pichiales; Pichiaceae
Description: 5.8S ribosomal RNA
Rfam family: 5.8S ribosomal RNA
About the family: 5.8S ribosomal RNA (5.8S rRNA) is a component of the large subunit of the eukaryotic ribosome. It is transcribed by RNA polymerase I as part of the 45S precursor that also contains 18S and 28S rRNA.
Source: RNAcentral